Molecule: ribosomal RNA, 253 nt
Filed under: uncultured bacterium
Lineage: Bacteria
Description: partial 16S ribosomal RNA
Rfam family: Archaeal small subunit ribosomal RNA
Source: RNAcentral
UACCAGCACCCCGAGUGGUCGGGACGAUUAUUGGGCCUAAAGCAUCCGUAGCCGGUUUUACAAGUCCUCCGUUAAAUCCACCUGCUUAACAGAUGGGCUGCGGAAGAUACUAUAGGGCUAGGAGGCGGGAGAGGCAAGCGGUACUCAGUGGGUAGGGGUAAAAUCCUCUGAUCCAUUGAAGACCACCAGUGGCGAAGGCGGCUUGCCAGAACGCGCUCGACGGUGAGGGAUGAAAGCUGGGGGAGCAAACCGG